Molecule: long non-coding RNA, 1978 nt
Organism: Trifolium pratense (red clover)
Lineage: Eukaryota; Viridiplantae; Streptophyta; Magnoliopsida; Fabales; Fabaceae
Exons: 9
Source: RefSeq, a predicted model, not a curated record
CAGAAUUUUUUUCAUUUGGCAAGUUUUUUUCUCUCUCUUCUCUCCCCCUCUCUCUCUCUCUCGUACGCUCUUCUCUCCCUCCUCUCUGCCUCAUCUCAUCCAUCACCGUAACAUCCACCACAACCCACACCACCACCUACAAAUCAAUCACUCGUCAGAGGGAGGGAGUGGCCGAGUGUGAGAAUAUUUUCUGGGGAGGGAAGUUCCGGUGAGGAAGAGAGAGUUCCGGCCGUGAUAGAGAGUUCCGGUGGCGUUUCAUGGCGGUGUUUGGCGACGGUGAUGCUUCUUGCUCCUUCGUUCAUCUGGCUCCAUGGAAGAAUAAUGCUCCUUCAGACCUCCACCUUCCUCCAAGCCAGCCAAAUCUGGUGGUGACAAGCAGAAGAAGGUAUAAGUUGUUAUUGCAAACUGAUCAUGCCACAACAACAUCAAAGGAUGACAGAACCUGCCUCUAAUGUGGCAUCUUGCAGUGGAACUGCAAUGGAGAAGUCAUCAAAAGGAUAUUUUAGGAACAUUCAUACAAGUCAUCAGUUUUUACUUUAUCAUUUUAAGAAAAUAUUUAUAUUCUGGAUUCAGUCUAUUAUGCUUCCUAGGAUUUCAGCGUCUAAUUUCGACGUAAAACGUUGUACAGAUAACACUUGCAAUGGCUUCUUUCUAUUGUGAUUAUUUCUCUCCAAAUACGGCUUACAAACCAAAGAUGUGGACAGAAGCUUGGACUGGCUGGUUUGCCGAGUUUGGAGGUCCGGUACCUCACCGACCUGCUGAAGACUUGGCAUUUUCAAUUGCAAGAUUUAUGCAAAAGGGGGAUCAUUUAUCAAUUACUACAUGGUAACUUCAUUAUUUAUUGAAUUUAAUGUGUAACUUUGUAGGGUUCACCGUAUUUAAAUAUUGAACUUGGCCAUUCAUUUUGUUUAUUUCAAUAUCAUGGUGGAACAAAUUUUGGGAGAACUGUCGGUGGUCCUUUCAUUGCUUCAAGCUAUGACUAUGAUGCACCUCUUGAUGAAUAUGGAUUGCUUAGGCAACCGUAAUGGGGUCAUCUGAAGGAUUUACACAGAGCAAUAAAACUCUCCGAACCGGCUUUAGUUUCUGCAGAUCCAACCGUUACACGGAUUGGAAACUAUCAAGAGGUAGUUGAAGUUUCAACUUCCAAAACUGGAAAACAUGGAUAUGUUAAGUGACACUGACAUCUUCACUGGCUUGUGAUGUAUUCAAGAGUAUUAAUGUGAUGAAUCUUUUGAAUUCAGGUAGAAACUGAGGAUGAGGUACUAUUAUAUUGCUCUAACCUGUUUCUUGUGAUGUAUUCAAGAGUAUGCAGACUUAUUUUCCCAAAGUUGAUCAAUUUUUUCCUAUCAUCGUUUGUUUUUUUUGAAUCUUUUGCAAUAGACUUGGUUUUAAGAAGUUGAUCAAUUUUUGCGGUUUUGGUUUUGUAAAUUAUUUGCUAACCAUUUUACUUUGCUAAUUUGCUAAAUAUAAGGCGGUUUUGUUUUUUUAUACAUUUUUAGAUUGCUCUUCUUUCUCGCUUUCUUUUGGCAUACCUGGCGACGUGAAUGGGUGAACAGGGAGCACACACAACAACAGCGGCAGCCUCCGACGUAGUGCAGAUGGGAUAAAUGCAAUUGUAUCAUGAAAGCAUGCUCACAAAAAUGUGUUAACCAAUAGUGUGCAACUAUUUGGUUGCCAUACUUUUCUUUCUUUCCCAGAAAAGUUACAAGCCUCCUAAAAGACCCUUGACAAACAAGGUUCUCAAAAUCAUAGUUUCCAGCUUGCUUUAAUGUGAGAGAUUUGUAGUAGAUAGUAUUUUUGGGAGUUGCUAGAUGGAUUUCAAGAUGAUUCCUAUGAAGUUAGUAACUUAAGAGUUUGAAGAAAAAUUUGUAAAAUCUAAGGAAAGAGUUUCUUUUGUGGUGUUCUUGCAUGUUAUAAGGAAGAUUGACAUGUUAUAACUUAUAACUUAUGAUUCCUAUCUCUAUCAUUUUGUUUUCCA